ACAUACCAGUGGUUGACGCCUUGUACAAAACAAAUUAUUAAUGUUCCCCCCUAUACUCAGGCAUGCAGUCAGGACGCCCUGACCUACUCCCCAAGAUCCCCACACACAAUGAUGUCACCAGUAACUCUGGUGAAACAGCCCUCCAACUCAUUGUUGGGAAGCUCGGGGCUCGCUACCAUGGCUCCUCCCAUCAGGUCAGUGGGAAAGGAGGAGCACAAGGCAGCCAGCACAGAGCAGGACACUAUAGCACCCCCAAGAGGUGUUGAAGCACUGAAAUCAGUGUCAUCAGUCGACGAGUGUUUCUGUGGAGAUAACGUCAUCUCACUUAGUGGCAUAGUUCCUCAGACAUGCAGCUGAUAUGUAAGUAUUCGAUACCUCAACCUCUCAAUACUUCAACCUAUUA
This 403-nucleotide long non-coding RNA is filed under the name Oncorhynchus kisutch (coho salmon). RNAcentral describes it as "lncRNA (ENSOKIG00005028156.1)". The record is from RNAcentral. Lineage: Eukaryota; Metazoa; Chordata; Actinopteri; Salmoniformes; Salmonidae.